GACGAACGCUGGCGGCGUGCCUAAUACAUGCAAGUAGAACGCUGAAGAGAGGAGCUUGCUCUUCUUGGAUGAGUUGCGAACGGGUGAGUAACGCGUAGGUAACCUGCCUGGUAGCGGGGGAUAACUAUUGGAAACGAUAGCUAAUACCGCAUAAGAGUAGAUGUUGCAUGACAUUUGCUUAAAAGGUGCAAAUGCAUCACUACCAGAUGGACCUGCGUUGUAUUAGCUAGUUGGUGAGGUAACGGCUCACCAAGGCAACGAUACAUAGCCGACCUGAGAGGGUGAUCGGCCACACUGGGACUGAGACACGGCCCAGACUCCUACGGGAGGCAGCAGUAGGGAAUCUUCGGCAAUGGACGGAAGUCUGACCGAGCAACGCCGCGUGAGUGAAGAAGGUUUUCGGAUCGUAAAGCUCUGUUGUAAGAGAAGAACGAGUGUGAGAGUGGAAAGUUCACACUGUGACGGUAUCUUACCAGAAAGGGACGGCUAACUACGUGCCAGCAGCCGCGGUAAUACGUAGGUCCCGAGCGUUGUCCGGAUUUAUUGGGCGUAAAGCGAGCGCAGGCGGUUAGAUAAGUCUGAAGUUAAAGGCUGUGGCUUAACCAUAGUACGCUUUGGAAACUGUUUAACUUGAGUGCAAGAGGGGAGAGUGGAAUUCCAUGUGUAGCGGUGAAAUGCGUAGAUAUAUGGAGGAACACCGGUGGCGAAAGCGGCUCUCUGGCCUGUAACUGACGCUGAGGCUCGAAAGCGUGGGGAGCAAACAGG
RNAcentral lists this ribosomal RNA (765 nucleotides) under uncultured Streptococcus sp. RNAcentral's name for it is "bacterial SSU rRNA". It matches the Rfam family "Bacterial small subunit ribosomal RNA", at positions 28 to 776 of the family's 1533-position model. The record is from RNAcentral. Lineage: Bacteria; Bacillati; Bacillota; Bacilli; Lactobacillales; Streptococcaceae.